AAAAAUAGAAACAAAUGAGAGUUUUGUCAUUUUUAUCAUAAUAAUGAUAACAAUAAUAAACAUUUAAAUUUAUAAUGUGUCAAAUUAAUUAAGAUUUUAUUGUGUAUUCACUAAAAAAAUAAAAAUGAGAGUUUUGUAAUUUUUAUAAAAUAUAAUAAUAUUAAUAAUGCAUAUUUAAAUUUAAAAUUGAAUCCAAUCAGACCAGAUUUUACAAUUUAUUUCAGUUUUAUAGUAAUAAAAAUAUUAAUUAUUCAUAUUUAAAUGUAUAAUUUAGUCAAAUCAACAGAGUUUUAAAGUGUGUAUUGACUUGAAAAAUAGAAAAAAAAAUCUUCAUCUUUAAAAAUAUAUAUUUAAAUUUAUUCAAAUUCAUAAUUUAGUCAAAUCAGAUCACAUUUUAGAGUUUAUUUUAAUGUAAAAAUAGAGUGGACUGUACUUUUUAUAAUAACAAUAGUGAUAUUAAUAAUAAUAAUAAUGCAUGUUUAAAUGUAGCAUUUAGUCAAAUUAACAGAUUUUAGAGUUUAUUUUAAUGGAAAAAUUAGAAAAAACAAGAGUUUUGCAUUUUUUUAAAUGAUAUUAAUAUGUUUUUAAAUUUAUAACUUUGUCCAAUGAGAUCAGGUUUUAGAUUUUGGCUUGACUUUAUAAUAAGAAUUUUAUUUAGAAUGUGUAUUUAAAUGUAUCAUUUAGUAAAAUUAAAACAGAUUUUAGAGUGUUUUUACUGGAAAAAUAAAAUAAAAUGAGUUUUGCAUUCUUACAAUAGUAAUUAUUAUUCAUAUUUAAAUGUAUAAUUGAGUCAAAACAACUCAAGAUUUACAGUUUAUUCACUGUAAAAACAGAAAAAUAAGAGUUCUGCUUCAAUAUUUGUGCAGGAGAACAAAAUUCUGUUUAAUAUUUAAGUGCAAAAAAGCAUAAAAAAAGUCAAACAUGCGGGUGGAUUCUGUCAGAUUUAUUCAUUUAUUAAGGAUUAAAAUGUUCACAUGUUAACUUUGAAAAUUAACUUAAAAAUAUUAAAUAAACGUUUUUAUGAUUUAUGUAUAAUUAAGUUAAAUCAAAUCAGAUUUUAGAGUGUAUUCGGUGUAAAACUGAGAAUCGUUUGGAAAAAAAGUCUUUUUUCACCUUUUUAUGUUUUGUUUUUUGUUUUUGCUGUUUUUUACGUAAAAUUUAUAAUUGAAUCAAAUCAACUCAGAUUAUUUACUAAAGAAAAUUAAAGUUUUGCAUCAAUAAUAAUAAUAAUAACGGUACAUUUUAUUUGUAAGCGCCUUUCUUGACGCCCAAAGUCACUUUACAGAAAAACUAAUUAUAUAUAUUAGACUUAGAUAUAUUAUAAUAACCUUUACGUGUUUUGUUUUUUUCUAUUUUUUGCGAUAUUUUUAGAUUUUAAAUGUAUAAUUAUUCAAAUGAAUUCAGACUUCCUAAUUUUUUUACUACAAAAAUAUGAAUUUUGUAUUAAUUAUUGUACAAGAGAAUGAAAUGUAGUUUAAUAUUUAACCAGAAGUGCAAAAAAAAAACUUUAAAAAGCAAAAAAAAAAAGAAAAUAAAACAUCCAAACAGAAUGGCCGUUGAUCUGAGUUUUUAUUUCUACUUUGAUUACUAAAAUCCUGCACAUUUAGUCAUUAAUUCUGACACAAAUAUAAAAGAUUCUCUGCUGAUUAGUUUGAAUUUGCAUGAACAAAAUAAACAUUUACCAGAUUAAAUGUAAAUCUUUGGUGGUUUUUCUUUGUUCUUUAAUGCUUAAAAUGUGUUUCUGCAGGUUUAAAUCUCAGGAGGAGGCAAAACAAAGAGAUUUUUAAAAGUUUAAUUUAAAAAACAGUGAAUGUUUCAGCUACGGGAGGCUUCAGAUUAUCAUUUUUUUUUAAAGAAAAAAUCUGCAGAAAUCCAACAAUUCCAACACAAAUGUAAAUUCAGAAUGAUUUUUCUGCAGUUUAAUUUUAAUUUGCAUGAAGAGAAUAAAACAUAUGUGGCAGAAAUUCUUAUAAAACCAUAAAAUAUUAAAAUAUAAUCUAUACAAUCUGUACAGGAGGCUUUAAAUUUAGACUUUUGGAAGUAAAAUCCUGCAGAACUCCACUACAUUUCUCACAUUUUGUCAUUAAUUCCAAGAUAAAUUUGAAUUCUGUAUGAUUUUUCUGCAGUUGAAGUUUAAAAUGCAUGAAUAAAACAAAACAUAGGAGACAGAAAUCCUGAUUAAAAUGUAAAAUAUUAAAAUAUAAUCUUGUAAAACUGUGCUACAGGCUUUAAAUUUAGACUUUUGGAAGAAAAAUCCUGCAUAUUUGAUCAUUAUUUCCAACACAGAAUAAGUUCUAAUGAUUUUUCUGCUGGUGAAUUGACAUAUUUAUUCAUAGAAUUAAACAUAAAGAGGAUUUAACACAGGCAGUGUGAAUUUUAGCAGGUGGCAGAAAUAAAAAUGGUAUUUAAAAUCAUUCACUAUAGUCUCUAUAAACUGAAUGUUUCAGCUACAGGAGGCUAUAAAUGGACAUUUUUUGAAGUAAAGUCCUGCAGAAAUCCACCACAUUUUUCACAUUUAAUCAUUAAUUCAAACACAAAUAUAAAUUCUGAAUGAUUUUUCUGCAGAUUAUCUUUACUUUGCAUGACUAGAAUCAAACAUAGCACAGAUUAAAUGUAAAUCUUCUGUGUUUCUUGUUCUUUAAACGUUCCUCUGCAGGUUUUUCCAUCAGCUGUUUAUUAUCCUGGGCUUUUAUUUUGGAGGGCUGUGAGUGUCUUCAUGCAGCAUCUCUUUGUUUCUGGUCUCUGAAUCUUGGCAGAUGUGACUCAGUGUGUUUUCUGCUGGCUGCCAGGCUUUUUAUUUUCUGUUUUUCUGCUGCUGUGGUCACUCUGGUGGUGUUUCUCUGCAGGUGAUCUGCUGCUGCUGGACAUUUGUCCGCUUGGUCUUUUCUCAUCUGGUCGGAGGCCGAGGCUGGAGGGAAACUCUCUGCAUCUUCCUUUCCUGGCAGCGCAGAAAGGCGCCACAGACUUCACUGAUUCCAUCACUUGUACCACCAGAUGUGCCGCCGGCUGCAUGAACAUGGCGGUGCAGAGUUUGGUUCCUCUUGGUUUGGUGCAGACAUACUUUGCCUAAUGAUAAAAUACACCUCUGAACUCAGGAGGAGAUUUUCAUCACUGCUGGGAAAUGGAAUUGUAACUUACUUCCGCCUGUUUUCUGGUUAGUUGGACACUGAUUAUGAAGGAGAGCACUUCCCUCAAGGACGCCAUCGACGGCGGCGCUCAGGCCCUAAAUGUGAGGGUUCUUUGCAUCUGAAAGACUUGCGCUCAUCCAUCAUCGGCGGGAGUGAAACUCUCUGCAGCGUCUGUGUUUCCCAAAUUAAAUUCUCCACAGUGGCUGCAUCGGAGGACGAUUCAGUCGGCAGCUCUGCAGCGGAGAUGAGGAUCCUGACAAAGCUGCCAUCAGAAAGGUGUCGGCGGCUCAGGUGAUCUGUGAGCAACAGGAAAAGGAAAGGCAGUUCUGCUGCAGCCUGCACGGUGGCGGCAGCAGCAUUUAAUGCUACACUUUACAACAGGCUGAUAUUGUUAUGCUAUAUUAACUUGCUCUAGCACUAGUUAACAAAUGUGCCUGUGAUUGUGCAUGAAGUUAAUACGGUUAUGUUAUUUUAGCUUGCUGUAGCACAAGUUAACAAAAUAGCUGAAUUUAUGCUGUGCUAAUAACAUGAUGUUAAAUUAGCUUGCUGUAACACCAGCUAACAAACUACCAAACUUUACAACAGGCUGUUAACAUUAUGCUAUAUUAGCUUGCUGUAUCCCUAUCUAAAAAACUAGCUGACUAUAUGUAAAACUAAUAAUAUUAUGCUAUAUUAGCUUGCUGUAGUACUAGCUAGCAAAUUACCAACUGGCUGAUAAUGUUUUUCUAUAUUAAUUUGCUGUAUCACUUCCUAACAAAGUAGUUGACAGUAUGUUGUGCUAAUAAUAUUAUGCUAUAUUAGCAUAAUAGCAAAUUAGCAGGCUUUAAAAUAAAUUGAUUGUGUUGUGCUAUAUUAGCUUGCCUUAGCAUUCAUUAAUGUGCUUGUGUUUGUGUAUCAAGUUUCUAAGGCUAUGCUAUAUUAAACAGUUGUUAGCAUGAGCUAACAAACUGGCUGUCUUUAUUUAGGCAAAUAAUGUCAUUGUAUAUUUGCUUGCUGUAGUAGUGCAAUAGUGGUACAAUAGGUGGAUAAUGCUGUGCUAUAUUAGCUUGUUGUAGCGCACACUAACAUGCUAAUAAUGCUGUUGUAUAUAAGCUUACUUGCCCCAGCACAGUCUAACAAACUAGCUGACUUUAUGUAUAGCUAAUGAUGUCAUUUGCUAUAAAUUCUACAAAUGCUUUAGCACAAGCAUUAAAAUGUUGCCACCACCACCAUGCAGGCCAGAGCAGAAUUCUCUGUUCUGCUGCGGCCUGCAUGGCGGCGGCGGCAACAUUUCACAGCUGACAAAUGGACAAAUGCCCGAGAAAAGCAUCAGAGUGGAAAUUAGACCAAGUCUGAACGGCCCUCAUGUCCCCAUAAUGCAAACACAGUUCCCAUUUUCAAAUCGCCGGCAGCUGUAGUCAUUGAAACAAAUGUUCCUAAUGUUCUCCUCUGCAUGGAGCUCCGGAGACUCGUGAAAGGAUCAAAGGAACAUGUGGCUGCGAGGAGCCGACGUCCAACAAUAGCGGACGGAAGCGGCCAAACGACAUUGUCAGCCACUUCAUUUUAAUUGCGCGGAUUAUGAGAUCAUUUCCAAAGCUAAUGUUUCUUGUUUCACUGCCUUUCACGUUUGCUCCCCUCUUUUAUUGUUCCCCUGAAAAGCUAAUUCGGGCCUUUCACGCUUUAAUUCCACUCUUUCAGCUCGCCCAAGGAAAAAUACCCACACGGGGACAUGGAAGUGGUCGUCAUUAGCGACUGGAAUCCUGCAGCUCGAGGUCUGACAGAACCAGCAGAUGAAAUCGUUUCAAACAUCCAGCUCUUUGAAAACCUGCACAAUGGAAGCUGUUCAUAUCGACAGAAGUUCCCUCUUCUUAUAUUCUUCAUUCUGUGGUUGAGAUGAAAUCAAUAUUCAAGAUAGCAGCAUUUAAAAGAAAAACAAAUAAAGCUAAGACUUCAUAUACUAUCACAAGCACGUUUAUUAGCUAGUGGCAGGACAAGCUAAUAUAGCUCAAUAUUAUGAGUCUAUUGUACUACAUUGUGCUACUACAGCAAGCUAAUAUACACCAUUAUUAGCAGUCAGUUAUUUUUUAUAACCUAGUGCUACAAAAAGCUUAUUAUAAAUGACACUGUUAGCUUUACAUAAACUUAAGUAGCUUGUUAGCCAGUGCUACAGCAAGCUAAUACAGCAUAACAGUAUCCGUGUGUUGUAAAAUUUAAUAGUUUGUUAGCUAGUACACAGAAAAAUAUGAUUAAAUAACAUUAUCAGCUUACCAUAAACUCAGCUAGUUCAUUCGCUUGUGCUAUGGCAAGCUAAUAUGGCAUAUCUUUAUGAAACUGAUACACAAUCAUGAGCACACUUGGUAGCUAGUGCUCGGACAGGCUAAUAGAGCAUAAUAUUAUCAGCAUGUUGAAAAGUUGGUUAGUUUGUUAGCUAGUACAACCGCAAGCUGAUAUACAACAACAUUAUUGUCUUAACAUUAUUAGCAUAACAUAAAGCUAGCUUGUCAGUUAAUGCUACAAAAAGCUCAGAGUGAAUGAUAUUAUUAGCAUAACAUAAAGUCAGCUAGUCUGUUAGCAAGCUAAUAGCAAACUAAUAUAAUAAAACAUUAUUGGCUUAACAUAAACUCAGCUGACUGUAAAAUUGUGAAAAUUAAUUAAAUUGUGGUACAGCAAGGUAAUAAAGCAUAACCUUAAGCUAAUACGCAAUUUCCUUCACUCUAGGCUUUUUGUAGCACCAGCAAAAAAAAUCUAGCAUGCUUUAUGUAAAGUCAGUUAGUUUUUUCAGCCAGUGCAGCAAAAAUCUUAUAAUGAAUGACAUUAUGAGCUUACCAUAAAGUCAGCUACUUUCUUAGCUUCUGCUACAGCAAGCUAAUAUACAACAACAUUAUUAGCUUAACAUAAAGUCAGGUAGUUUGUUAGCUUCUGCCACAGCAAGUUACCAUAGCAUAGCCUUAUUAACUUCACAUACAGUCAGACAGUUUGUUAACUAAUGCAACAAAAAGCUUACAGUAAAUUAUAUUAUCAACUUACCAUAAAGUUAGCUAGUUUGUUAGGUUUUGUUACAGCAAGCUAAUAUAGCGUAACCUUAUAACUUAACAUGAAGUCAGCUUGGCUAGUGCAACAAAAAGCUUAAGGUGAAUAACAUCUUUAGCUUAACAUAAAAUCAGCUAGUUUGUUAGCAAGUGAUGUAGCAAGCUAAUAUAGCAUAACAUUCUUAACUUAUAGUAAAGUCAACUAGUUUUGGGGGGUGUUUAGCUGGUGCAACAAAAACCCUAUUGUAAAUGGCAUUAUUAGCUUAACAUAAGGUCAGCUAGUUUGAUAGCUUGUGAUACGGCAAGCCAAUGCAGCAUAACAUUAUUAGCUUAUCGUAAAGUCAGCAACUUUUUUUUAGCAUGUGCAACUAAAAGGCUAUCACGAAUGACAUUAUGGGGAUGGCUAGUAACUACGUCAUCGUGUCCAAAAACGUCACUUCCGUGUCCUACCAAACCAACGAUAUAAUGGUGCUGUGUUGUGUCCCAUGUUGCAACAAUAGAAAUGAUGUAAAUAAAACGAUAUCUUUCUACCGCUUUCCUCUGGACGAAAAGGAGAAGAGAAGAUGGCUGACACUGAUAAGGUAAGUCGGAUUUCUAAUCUUAGAAAAUACAUUUAGCGCCGGGAGCUAACGUGCGCUAGCUAGUAUUAGCCGCUUGAAUCAUGUUAUCUUUUAGUGUUACGAGGAGUGUUUGGGCCACAUUACAAAAGAAACUAAAAGUGGUCGAGAUUAAAGUCUCUGAUAAUAAGUUUAUACUUUUAAUUUAUAAGAAUAAAGUCUGCCGAGGGAGACUUUUGUCCCAGUUUUGGGGACUUGGACUUGCUUGACCAAUCUGCCCAAAAUACUCGACUUGACGAGGAUAUGGGUCUAUGUGACUUGCACUUUCCCUUUAAAACCACCUGCCAGCACACUAACAUUUGCAACUCUGCUUGAGUUGUAAGAGUUAAGACCUCGCUUUACCGACUUCGGAAAAUCCGCAAAAUAAGAUGUCACAGUGAAAAAGGUGACCGGUUCUUUCGCUACUGCCAUUUUUUUAUUCGGUGCGCCACGGCGUAGGACACAGAAGUGGUCCGUGAUGUCACACUAGCCAUUCCCAUUAGCGGAACAUAAAGUUAGUUGUUUUUUUGCCUGACCUACAGCAAGCAAAUAUAGCAUAGCCUUAUUAAUUUAGCAUAAAAUCAGGUAGUUUUUUUAGCUAGUUCUACAAAAAGCCCAUAGUGAAUGAUAUUAUUAGCUUAAUGUCAAGUCAGCUUGUUUGUUAGCUGACUGUAAAAACUGUGAAGAGAACAGCAAAUAUCUGUUAAAUGAUGACGUUUUACGAAAUGAAAAUACAUCAAAACAGUGUAGGUAUAUUUGUAAAUGUAACAGGAACUAAUUACUGCUUGGACAAUAAAGGUUUCUGAUGUGGACAUUA
Long non-coding RNA from Acanthochromis polyacanthus (spiny chromis), 7549 nucleotides. RefSeq lists it as uncharacterized. Lineage: Eukaryota; Metazoa; Chordata; Actinopteri; Pomacentridae. The record is from RefSeq and is a predicted model, not a curated record. The transcript has 2 exons.